UCCGCACGAGCGCACCCCUAUCCUUAGUUGCUAGCAGGUAAUGCUGAGAACUCUAAGGAGACUGCCGGUGAUAAACCGGAGGAAGGUGGGGACGACGUCAAGUCAUCAUGGCCCUUACGUGUAGGGCUACACACGUGCUACAAUGGCGCAUACAGAGUGCUGCAAACUCGCGAGAGUAAGCGAAUCACUUAAAGUGCGUCGUAGUCCGGAUUGGAGUCUGCAACUCGACCCCAUGAAGUCGGAAUCGCUAGUAAUCGCAUAUCAGAAUGAUGCGGUGAAUACGUUCCCGGGCCUUGUACACACCGCCCGUCACACCAUGGGAGUGGGUUGCUCCAGAAGUGGAUAGUCUAACCUUCGGGAGGACGUUCACCACGGAGUGAUUCAUGACUGGGGUGAAGUCGCAACAAGGUAGCCCUAGGGGAACCUGGGGCUGGAUCACCUCCUU
RNAcentral lists this ribosomal RNA (445 nucleotides) under uncultured Pseudoalteromonas sp. RNAcentral's name for it is "bacterial SSU rRNA". It matches the Rfam family "Bacterial small subunit ribosomal RNA", at positions 1085 to 1532 of the family's 1533-position model. The record is from RNAcentral. Lineage: Bacteria; Pseudomonadati; Pseudomonadota; Gammaproteobacteria; Alteromonadales; Pseudoalteromonadaceae.